This 253-nucleotide ribosomal RNA is filed under the name uncultured bacterium. RNAcentral describes it as "partial 16S ribosomal RNA". It matches the Rfam family "Bacterial small subunit ribosomal RNA", at positions 524 to 776 of the family's 1533-position model. The record is from RNAcentral.
UACGUAGGCGGCGAGCGUUGUCCGGAAUUACUGGGUGUAAAGGGCGUGUAGGCGGGAAUGCCAGUUGGAUGUGAAAUUCCGGGGCUUAACCUCGGCGCUGCAUCCGAAACUGCAUUUCUUGAGUGCUGGAGAGGAAAGCGGAAUUCCUAGUGUAGCGGUGAAAGGCGUAGAUAUUAGGAGGAACACCAGUGGCGAAGGCGGCUUUCUGGACAGUAACUGACGCUGAGGCGCGAAAGCGUGGGGAGCAAACAGG